This 4277-nucleotide long non-coding RNA is filed under the name Linum usitatissimum (flax). Its description in RNAcentral is "long non-coding RNA (LUSI_LNC006963)". The record is from RNAcentral. Lineage: Eukaryota; Viridiplantae; Streptophyta; Magnoliopsida; Malpighiales; Linaceae.
UGAAAUCAUCCACUGCAACCCUUACGCCUUGAAGAAUCAUUUUCAGCAGCAGAAGCAGGCAUGGAGGGUGUUGAGAUCAUCUCAUUCUGUGAUAUCAUCCCCAAUUAACACUGUUUUUCAUUCAGUCAUGAGCCUUCAUUUUGUUACCAACGUUAAUUUGCUUGUGAGUAGUAAAACAAACUAUCACUUCCCUCUUCUCCAUAGUUUCUGCUGUAAUAUUGUUGGCUGAAUGACGGACAGGAAGGUAGAUCCAACAACAAGACCUCAAGCUCUUCGUAGCUUGAUUUGCUCACUCAAAAUCCUAGACUGUAAACAAAAAAAUAACACGGAUAACUGACAUGAUGAAUGUAGAUCAUUGGUAUACUCGUCGAACCACACAACUUACAGGUAUAGUCAAUGGCGACAACUGGAGAGGUGUUGGUAAGGAUUAUGUCUAUGGUGUAGGCGUGUAGGUGUUUCUGGAGGAGCUGCUCGCCUGCUCUUUAAUUUCCUGGUUCAGAUGUUCAAACCUCUGAACCGUUAGAUAAUGAAACCACUUUACAAAGCAAGCCAAGUCGAACAUGUUCAACAAUCAAGCUCAACGCUUCUAUAAGCCCGUAUCAUGGAGUUCAUCCCCACAUCUUGUAGAUCGUCAGGAAGACAUUGAACAAGUAUAUGAAAGUUUGAACUGAGACAUUUUAUCAUUACUUUCAGCAUUGCCAACCAUCCUCAUUUGAUAUCUAUUCUUUUCAAAAAAAUAAAAAAUCAUAUUUUUCUCCCUCAAUGUGAAAGUUUCACUAAUAUGUUAAUCAACAUAAGAUUGAGAAUUGCAAGAUUCAUUAGAUUCUAAAACAUUUAUCCAAGCUACAUUACAAAUUUAUAGGAUACUAGGAUAGUGUAAAACCACUUUCACUUGAAGAAUUAGGAAAACUGAAAAGGGAGUUGCUUCAAACUUAGGGCAAAGUCCACUGACCCUAGGCUAUAAGCCUAUAAUGCAAAACAGAUGGGUUAAUUACUUAAUAAAAAAAAUAUCACAGGACUCCAUGUGAAAUGGAUGAAAAAUAAAAAUCCGUACAUUUUCAGAAACAUUCAUCAAAACUUAGAUAUGGUCCCCAUCCUAGGCUCCCAUUCCCAUGAACCCUAGUUCUCUCUGUAUGGCUUGCAAAUCCAGAUUCCUAAGACAUUCCUUGUCCCCGUGCAUAUUUGCUUUUCCAAUACAUGAUCCAAAAACUUUUAUCAAAAGUUUGACUUAGAAAGAGGUUGAGAGAUCAACCUUCUUUAUAAUUAGUAGAUUAAUCCUUAAAUAGAGUAUUAGAUAUAUCAAUCAACGAAAACAUCAUCUUGUUUACUAAAGUAGAGAAUAAUAGCAGCAACUUUGAAAACCUUAGUGUCGAAUCACCAAGUAAGCCCCGUGAUCAGUUAACUAUUUUCGACUUAUUGAGUGUCCAAAACCUGCUUCUUAGUCCAAUCCAUAAAACCUACAAGAUUGCAAUAAAAAGGUGAGUUAGCCAUGUGUUAAUGGUCACAAGUAGACUAAAACAGUAAAACUCAGACUUUUCAUUUUUUCCUUCAUCCUGUUCUUGAUGAAAGAUUAACUAUUGUUUAUCUCUAAUCAAUAUUUGUGUAGCUUGCCGACAAUCGACAGGUGGCAACAUCUUUCUUGCCUGCCUUUGCUCUCUCUUUCCUUGCCAAGCUUUCUUAUUCCUAUCAACUUUGAUCUAACCCAUGAUGAUCCAUGCAAUUUGCUCCUCGUUUUUCACCUUCCUCUUUCCUUUUUUCCCUCUUCACUUCUUUAAAGAAAGAUCAUUCCUUCAUUCAUGAUCCCGUUACACUUUUACACUAAUAAGUACGAAAUAUUGGUAUUAAACUGGCAAGCAUCCUACCACCACGCAGUCCUAUGUCAUACAUUUUUUUGUUCGAUACAAUGACACAAGUUUUCUUAGACCCUUAAGACAUUCGAAUAGCCUAUUCAAUCGAAGUUAUACUACAACAGGUAAACUGAUGUAUGUAAAUUAAAACCAGCUGUAAGGUCAAAUGAAAUAAGCAAGAUCACAAGUUAUUACGAGAUAAUAUAUUCAGCUUAAAUUUUAUUAAAGGCGAAUUUUAUUCAGUUUUAAGUGAUGAAGAUUUCCACUUUGAAACUUCGGAGCACAAUUGUAUGUAAAUACUAUAUUCUGGAGAAACCUCUUGAUCCAUAUACUCGUUAAAUAACAACUUCUACUUCAUCUUAGAGGGCAUGAAUAAAAUUAUACGCUCCUUCAACUAUAAAGACUCACUUUUUAAAAACAAAUCAGCAGAAGCGGCGCUGCAUCUCCAAACGGCCUUUUAGUUGGUGAAGCCUUCAUUGCACCCCGGCCCCGCCAAGUUUUCCUAGAAAAAGCACCAACACCUAGCUGCGCAGUGAACAUAACCAUAAUUGGCUCCCUGAAGCCAUGAUUACACAAGCACACAAAAACCACCACCAUAAACUAAGUAAAUUAAUCAGCCACCAGAGCUAAAGGCACACGAAAAGCUAUGUAUAAUGAUUAUUGAAAAGGCAGACUUCAUUUAUUUGUUAACUCAGUUCUACUACAGACCACAGUAUAACCAAGCCAGAUAAACCUUAAAUCUUAUUCUCCCCGCACAACGCAUUCAUACAGUAUAGAGUUUUGCAAUGAAGGCGGUCACGUGAUUCGUGAUGCUAUGUUAUUUUUGCUUACAAUCAAUUGCAGUUGCAGGGAGAUCAAAGAAACCAUAAAUUACUUUUUCCUAGAACAAAAGCAUAAAGGGACAUUCAUGUACAAGAUUAGGCUAAAUGGACAAUUAACAUGUACUUCGAAUAUCACCGACUCUACGUAGGUAUGAGUAAAUGCCAGUUAAUUAGUACUUUGAGUUAGUAAAGAAGGGUUUAAGUUUUCCUAUAAAUGACGGGGACCAGUUAGUUAAUCAGUGAGUCAACAUAGCCAAUAGAUCAAUAGCAGUUAAUUCAACCUUUCGCCUUUCAGUUCAGAAACAAUACAAGAGAAGUGAUGAUGUUAAUGAUCAUGGUGUCCGCAAGAGGCAAACACUGAUGAUAAUAGCAUGAUAACAUUCUGCAGAUCCGUCCAGGGUUUUGGCUUCUGGCUCGUGGAGGGAUAGGAAAGUAGAUAAAAUAGCCCAUUAAACUAAACCCACACCCACCAUUACCAUUAUAAACAAUUCGUAAUUCCUGUCACAGUUUGUGGGGCAAAUUGAGUUCAUUGUUUUUCUCAUAAAUCUUCACAUUGGGUUUAAUUCUAGAGGAGCAAUUGCCAUGUGGUGAGCUCAGAUAUCGGCACAUGGCUCCCCAAGUAUCUAUGCACCACCCUCUUCUUCCCCUGCAACCCCUACUACUUGCUACUGUCACCCAAUGCAGGGGAACCAGCUGUUUUGGGGUUUCCUAGGAGAAUCCCUAAGUUUAUAUAAUCAGGUCCUAUGCAGAAAAAAACAAGCAACACAAACAGUACAACACCCUCCAAUCCCAAAUUAAUUUAUCUGGUUAAGAGAACCCUCACAGUGCUUUGCUUUUACUUCCCACUUCACAAACUCACACUUCCCAAGCUUCAUCCAAAAGCCAUAAACAACCAACUUUCCUCACGUCUCCACAUUCCUUCUUCAUACCUCAAAUCCUCAAUUCUUCACUUCCUUAGUCCUCGCCGACUAGUUCCACCUCCAUCUAUCUUUACCCCCCUUCAAUCCUCUAGAUCCCCAAAAGGAAAGGAGUGGGAAAUUAUCGCACAUUCUCAACAUUGCCAUUACAUAUAUAAAUAUCCUCCCAUCUUACCCUCAGUCCCUAUGUGCAAAACUUCCCACUUCUUGCACCCUACCUCUCAUUUCAAGUUGAUCAACCCUAAAAUAUGACCUUCUGUUUCUGCAGAACCCACAUUUACCCCAUAUCUCUCCUUCCCCUAAUUCUCCCAACCCUCCUUGGGUAUGGAUUCCAAACUCCCAUCUUCCUCGCUGCAUUAUCACUUGUGAUUUUACCCAUGCUGAAACUCAGUAUGUCAAGAACAGCCCCAAUUACAUACAAGCCCGCAGUUGAUGAAAUCUUAGAACCCGAAACCAUUCAGCACGAAAGUUCACAAGCGGAAGACCAAAGUUCCAUAAUGGAAGAACAAGAGGAAGAGGAAUACGAGGUGAGAAGAGAGCUAACCGACGGCGAGUGCCAGGGGAGGCUAUCGUCGACGACAAGCGAGGAAUCGGAGGUGGACUACUGGCCGUUUCAAGGGAACAUGUUCCAGAGCCCCGAUUGCUUCGACACCGGAUACAUCUCUGACGAGGAAAGCCUGAUUGAGAUUGCA